This 211-nucleotide long non-coding RNA is filed under the name Elaeis guineensis (African oil palm). RNAcentral describes it as "long non-coding RNA (EGUI_LNC042956)". The record is from RNAcentral. Lineage: Eukaryota; Viridiplantae; Streptophyta; Magnoliopsida; Arecales; Arecaceae.
ACUACUCUACUAUUUAGGAUAAACACAUACCCUGAUAUUGACUUACUAUUAUUGAGAUCAAAUUGAAAAUUAAAAUCUAUAUAUCCCUCUAGUUUCAAGUUUGAUCCACCUCCAUAUAUUAGAAAAAAUCUUUAAUACUCCUUAGGUACUUAAGAAUAUUUUUCAUAGCUUUCUAAUGAUCCUCCGAUAGAUUAGCUUGAAAUCUACUAGC